AACGAACGCUGGCGGCAUGCCUAACACAUGCAAGUCGAACGAGACCUUCGGGUCUAGUGGCGCACGGGUGCGUAACGCGUGGGAACCUGCCCUUAGGUUCGGAAUAACUCCCCGAAAGGGGUGCUAAUACCGGAUAAUGUCUUCGGACCAAAGAUUUAUCGCCUUUGGAUGGGCCCGCGUUGGAUUAGCUAGUUGGUAGGGUAAAAGCCUACCAAGGCGACGAUCCAUAGCUGGUCUGAGAGGAUGAUCAGCCACACUGGGACUGAGACACGGCCCAGAAUCCUACGGGAGGCAGCAGUGGGGAAUAUUGGACAAUGGGCGAGAGCCUGAUCCAGCAAUGCCGCGUGAGUGAUGAAGGCCUUAGGGUUGUAAAGCUCUUUUACCCGGGAUGAUAAUGACGGUACCGGGAGAAUAAGCUCCGGCUAACUCCGUG
Molecule: ribosomal RNA, 433 nt
Filed under: uncultured bacterium
Lineage: Bacteria
Description: partial 16S ribosomal RNA
Rfam family: Bacterial small subunit ribosomal RNA
Source: RNAcentral